UACGUAGGGUGCGAGCGUUGUCCGGAAUUAUUGGGCGUAAAGAGCUCGUAGGCGGUCUGUCGCGUCGAUCGUGAAAACUUGGGGCUUAACCCUGAGCUUGCGGUCGAUACGGGCAUGACUGGAGUUCGGCAGGGGAGACUGGAAUUCCUGGUGUAGCGGUGAAAUGCACAGAUAUCAGGAGGAACACCGGUGGCGAAGGCGGGUCUCUGGGCCGUAACUGACGCUGAGGAGCGAAAGCAUGGGGAGCGAACAGG
RNAcentral lists this ribosomal RNA (254 nucleotides) under uncultured bacterium. Its description in RNAcentral is "partial 16S ribosomal RNA". It matches the Rfam family "Bacterial small subunit ribosomal RNA", at positions 524 to 776 of the family's 1533-position model. The record is from RNAcentral.